Molecule: non-coding RNA, 27 nt
Filed under: Mus musculus (house mouse)
Lineage: Eukaryota; Metazoa; Chordata; Mammalia; Rodentia; Muridae
Source: RNAcentral
UGGGUGUUCUGAGAAGGGUUUACCAGG